Molecule: long non-coding RNA, 1232 nt
Filed under: Sus scrofa (pig)
Lineage: Eukaryota; Metazoa; Chordata; Mammalia; Artiodactyla; Suidae
Description: lncRNA (ENSSSCG00065014468.1)
Source: RNAcentral
GGAGAAGCUGGGGAGGGCUGAAUCACCAACCAGGAAAGCCCCUGAGGGAUGCAAUGGGGUGGGGGUGGGGGUGGGGGGCUGUGACGGAAAGAGGGAGAUGAGAUGUGGAUAUGGAGCCGGGCAAUGGGAGCCAGCAGCCCAGGGUGGGCAGCAGGGAGGAGUGUGGGGGUUGGGAUGAAACACGAGUGACGAAUGGCUGGAGGCCCAGCUUUUAAGAACAGGAACGUCCCAGUGUCACUUUCAGCUUUGUGCUGAGCAGCGCAGUGACUUCGAGCGACCCAAACAGCUUCUGCUCAUAGAGCAGCCUGGUGUUCAUGGUUUCUUGGGAGAGGAAAUGGGCUGCAUCCUACGUUUGAAUCAAUUCCAGGGCAGAAAUAAAGGGAACAGCUGCCGGAAUUUAGCAGAAGGAGGAACGCAGAGCCACACAAUUAGCCCAAGUCACCACCUUCAGGUUCUAUUAUACAUGUGACAUCGUCUGGCUCCGGACAGAGCAGUGUCUGGAACACACCUUCGCUAGGAGGUAUGGAACAAACAAAAGAAGACAAUUACCAAGUGGGAUGAAGACAAUUACCAAGUGGGAUGAGUGAAUAAAAGAUACAGGAAGUCUACAGAAAGACACAGGAAGAGGAGGCCACACCUAAAUGCUGGCAAGGGAGCAGGCAACAGGGUCAGACGCCAAGCCUCAGACCCCUCCUGGAUACGAACCAUCCCCUGCCUCAUCAGAGCCUGGGAAGAUUUCCUACUCGUGAGGCUAACGAAUCGCUCAGAACACAACCAUCUCAUUAAGCAAUUAGCUCUGGGAGCGCCAAGGCAAGGAAGUGACCUCACUGGCCGCUCGACACGACACCGCCCUGCCGCUGGGGAGGAAGAUUGCCGGAAAGCAGGAGGAGCACUGCGUGGAGUUAAGUGGUGCAAUCUCUCUGGGCUUCUGAAAAUAGCAGAUGACCAGGACCAGGCCGGGUGAUUUCUAAAUUACUUCCAGCGCAAAAAAAAAAAAUUCUUAGUGGUCAGACUGCUACCAACUCCACAGGUCACUCCCCUCACACCUGCCCCUGGAGGGCGCAGUCCCUUUAAAAACCAAGGCCUUGCCUUACGCUUGGGCCAAUCACCGUGAACAGAAGUUCUUUAAGGACCAAAGGAGGGAAUUCAGCCGGAGGAGGGCGGGGCAGGGGCGUGCCUUCCAGCCAAUCGGAAUCUUCUUGGCGACUAGGGACUCACGUGCAAAGCUCUGC